UACCAGCUCCCCGAGUGGUGGGGACGAUUAUUGGGCUUAAAGCGUCCGUAGCCGGCUUGGCAAGUCUUUCGUUAAAUCCAGCGGCUUAACCGUUGGACUGCGGGAGAUACCGUCAGGCUAGGGGGCGGAAGAGGCCGACGGUAUUCUCGGGGUAGGGGUGAAAUCCUAUAAUCCCGGGAAGACCACCAGUGGCGAAGGCGGUCGGCUAGUACGCGCUCGACGGUGAGGGACGAAAGCUGGGGGAGCGAACCGGAUUAGAUACCCGGGUAGUCCCAGCUGUAAACGAUGCGGGCUAGGUGUUGGGGCGGCUACGUGCCGCUUCGGUGCCGCAGGGAAGCCAUUAAGCCCGCCGCCUGGGAAGUACGGCCGCAAGGCUGAAACUUAAAGGAAUUGGCGGGGGAGCACUACAAGGCGUGAAGCUUGCGGUUC
This 429-nucleotide ribosomal RNA is filed under the name uncultured archaeon. Its description in RNAcentral is "bacterial SSU rRNA". It matches the Rfam family "Archaeal small subunit ribosomal RNA", at positions 474 to 903 of the family's 1478-position model. The record is from RNAcentral.